UACGUAGGUGGCAAGCGUUGUCCGGAUUUAUUGGGUUUAAAGGGUGCGUAGGCGGUCCUAUAAGUCAGUGCUGAAAUAUCCCGGCUUAACCGGGAGGGUGGCAUUGAUACUGCAGGACUUGAGUGAAGUCGAAGUAGGCGGAAUUGACGGUGUAGCGGUGAAAUGCUUAGAUAUCGUCAAGAACACCGAUAGUGAAGACAGCUUACUAGACUUCAACUGACGCUGAGGCACGAAAGUGUGGGGAUCAAACAGG
RNAcentral lists this ribosomal RNA (253 nucleotides) under uncultured bacterium. RNAcentral's name for it is "partial 16S ribosomal RNA". It matches the Rfam family "Bacterial small subunit ribosomal RNA", at positions 524 to 776 of the family's 1533-position model. The record is from RNAcentral.